AUAAUCCGAGUGCAAUCCGAUUAAUUUGCGCUGAAACGCUGACAGUUUUUUUACUAGUGAACGACUGACGUUUGACAUUCGAUUGAGAGUGUUCUGUGUUCCAUUUGUUUAUUUUUUUAUUCUUUGUUUAUAUAAUUUAUAACCUAGACAGUUUUGUUUUUAAAUAAAACUGAAACUGUGUCUAAGCUAAAAUGGAUAAUAUUCUUGAAGAAUUUUUGUUUGGGGACGAAAUUAGCAAAUGCCGUUAUACAUUUAGCAGAUGUACCUGCCUCACAAUUAUUCCAGAAGGAUGAGAUGAAAUUAAAUAUAUAUAAACCAUAAUUCAAUAUCCAAUUUAGAGAACAUUUUCGUAUGUCCAGAACUACUUUCCAGGAACUAUUUAAUUGUAUUGGUCAUAUCCACCAAUUUGAAAACAGAAUAAUUCUAUUGGAAAAAAUUAAUGUUUAUGAUGUGGAUGCUAAGUAAACCAGAGAAUUUGUUGCUGGGGAUACGUUUGGUUUGCCAAAGAGCUCUGGACAUAAGAUUUUCACCCAAAUAAUAUAGAAUUACAAAAAAUUGGAAAUAACUAAUCUUGAAUAUCAAUGUGUAUAUUGAGUUUAAUUUUAUUGUAAAUAUUCUAUAAUAUAAUUUUAUUGUAAAUAUUGUAUUAACACAUUUGUGGACACAUCUUCAUAUGCAGACAGUAAUUUCCCUUUGUAAGUACAUGCAUAUUAGUCGUAUCUGCGAAUGGGUUAAUUGUAAAUCGUAAUCAAUAAAAAUUUUUUGUGAAUCAAUAAAAAACUGGUUUGUUUGAAAAUAAAUGUAGUACAAAUGUG
Long non-coding RNA from Diabrotica virgifera virgifera (western corn rootworm), 815 nucleotides. RefSeq lists it as uncharacterized. NCBI's taxonomy places the organism in Eukaryota, Metazoa, Arthropoda, Insecta, Coleoptera, Chrysomelidae. The transcript is spliced from 2 exons. The record is from RefSeq and is a predicted model, not a curated record.